ACGUAGGGUGCGAGCGUUAAUCGGAAUUACUGGGCGUAAAGCGUGCGCAGGUGGUCUCGCAAGUCAGGCGUGAAAUCCCCGGGCUUAACCUGGGAAUUGCGCUUGAAACUACGAGACUGGAGUGCGGCAGAGGGAGGUGGAAUUCCACGUGUAGCGGUGAAAUGCGUAGAUAUGUGGAGGAACACCGAUGGCGAAGGCAGCCUCCUGGGUCGACACUGACGCUCAUGCACGAAAGCGUGGGGAGCAAACAGGAUUAGAUACCCUGGUAGUCCACGCCCUAAACGAUGUCUACUAGUUGUUGGGGGAGUUAAAUCCCUUAGUAACGCAGCUAACGCGCGAAGUAGACCGCCUGGGGAGUACGGUCGCAAGAUUA
This 373-nucleotide ribosomal RNA is filed under the name uncultured bacterium. RNAcentral describes it as "bacterial SSU rRNA". It matches the Rfam family "Bacterial small subunit ribosomal RNA", at positions 525 to 896 of the family's 1533-position model. The record is from RNAcentral.